Molecule: long non-coding RNA, 762 nt
Organism: Mirounga angustirostris (Northern elephant seal)
Lineage: Eukaryota; Metazoa; Chordata; Mammalia; Carnivora; Phocidae
Exons: 3
Source: RefSeq, a predicted model, not a curated record
UCUUACAGGUAAUUGGGUUUCUGCGGCCCUAGACACAUAAUGAUUGGAAAUCACGGUACCAAUUCUAUUUGCCCGUCACUGUCUGCGGGGGCCAAGCAUGAAGAGCCGGGAAGAAUCACUCGGCAUGCUAGGAACGAUUACUGGCUUGAAGUUCAAGAGCCUGCGAAGACAGUGUUGAUUGUGUCUCUCCUGUCUGACACUCAGACAGAAACAGAGAAUGAUGAGCAACUUUGAGGAAGAAUUUCAUAAAGGACUUUAGGACAAGAAAUCUCGAAGCUUCGAAUAGUGAUCAUGAGAAUAGUGACCUGGAGAGGUGUUAUCCAGGUUUGGCAAUGGGUCCUUUCUUAUGACUGCCAACACGAAAGAAGUUCAACUCAAAAGCUGAGGAGGGAAUAAAACACUGACUCUAUGCCUUGCAAACUGUGAAGUAGGAAAAUUUUGAGCUCUUCCCUUAUCAUUUCAUAGAGCAUCUAUGUUUGAGAACUAAUAUUUGUCCUUUGGAGGUGUGUGUGUGUGUGUGUGUGUGUGUGUGUUUGAGCACUCUGUGUGUCCAUGUACCCACGUGCAAUUAUUGGAUAAAUCAAGAGACAGGACUGACUCCCAGUGGAGGUAAGGUCUUAAAAGAGAUCAAUUGCCUGGAAAUCCCUCUUCCACUCCCUCACCUGCCCUUAAUUCUUCCGAAGUUCCUGGGAAAUCAAGGGCUGUCAUUGUCUUUUCUAUGGAAGCCUUCAAGAAGCAACUGAAUUAGGAGCCACUUAGCUU